This 253-nucleotide ribosomal RNA is filed under the name uncultured bacterium. RNAcentral's name for it is "partial 16S ribosomal RNA". It matches the Rfam family "Bacterial small subunit ribosomal RNA", at positions 524 to 776 of the family's 1533-position model. The record is from RNAcentral.
UACGUAGGGUCCAAGCGUUAAUCGGAAUUACUGGGCGUAAAGCGUGCGCAGGCGGUUUUGUAAGACGGGUGUGAAAUCCCCGGGCUCAACCUGGGAACUGCAUUCGUGACUGCAAGGCUAGAGUGUGUCAGAGGGAGGUGGAAUUCCGCGUGUAGCAGUGAAAUGCGUAGAGAUGCGGAGGAACACCGAUGGCGAAGGCAGCCUCCUGGGAUAACACUGACGCUCAUGCACGAAAGCGUGGGGAGCAAACAGG